UACAGGAGGUCUCGAGCGUUGUUCGGAUUCAUUGGGCGUAAAGGGUGCGUAGGUGGCGGGGUAAGUCAGGUGUGAAAUCUCGGAGCUCAACUCCGAAACUGCACUUGAUACUGCCUUGCUUGAGUAGCUGGAGAGGAGAUUGGAAUUUACGGUGUAGCAGUGAAAUGCGUAGAUAUCGUAAGGAAGACCAGUGGCGAAGGCGAAUCUCUGGACAGUUACUGACACUGAGGCAGCGAAGGCCAGGGAGGCAAACGGG
Molecule: ribosomal RNA, 256 nt
Filed under: uncultured bacterium
Lineage: Bacteria
Description: partial 16S ribosomal RNA
Rfam family: Bacterial small subunit ribosomal RNA
Source: RNAcentral